AGCAGCCGCGGUAAUUCCAGCUCCAAUAGCGUAUAUUAAAGUUGUUGCAGUUAAAAAGCUCGUAGUUGAAUUUCGGGAUCAAAUUGUCGGUCGUGUCUCGGUACGAACUGGUAUUAUUGGUUCCUCCCUUCUGAAGAACCGCGAUGUCAUUAAUUUGGUGUCGUGGGGAAUCAGGACUGUUACUUUGAAAAAAUUAGAGUGUUUAAAGCAGGCUUACGCUUGAAUACAUUAGCAUGGAAUAAUGAAAUAGGACGUUUGAUUCUAUUUUGUUGGUUUCUAGGAUCGACGUAAUGAUUAAUAGGGAUAGUUGGGGGCAUUAGUAUUCAAUUGUCAGAGGUGAAAUUCUUGGAUUUAUUGAAGACUAACUACUGCGAAAGCAUUUGCCAAGGAUGUCUUCAUUAAUCAAGAACGAAAGUUAGGGGAUCGAAGACGAUCAGAUACCGUCGUAGUCUUAACCAUAAACUAUGCCGACUAGGGAUCGGAUGAUGUUAAUUUUUUAAUGUACUCAUUCGGCGCCUUA
This 520-nucleotide ribosomal RNA is filed under the name uncultured Glomus. RNAcentral describes it as "SSU rRNA". It matches the Rfam family "Eukaryotic small subunit ribosomal RNA", at positions 569 to 1090 of the family's 1831-position model. The record is from RNAcentral. Lineage: Eukaryota; Fungi; Glomeromycota; Glomeromycetes; Glomerales; Glomeraceae.